GAUGAACGCUGGCGGCGUGCCUAAUACAUGCAAGUCGAGCGAACAGACGAGGAGCUUGCUCCUCUGACGUUAGCGGCGGACGGGUGAGUAACACGUGGAUAACCUACCUUUAAGACUGGGAUAACUUCGGGAAACCGGAGCUAAUACCGGAUAAUAUAUUGAACCGCUUGGUUCAAUAGUGAAAGACGGUUUUGCUGUCACUUAUAGAUGGAUCCGCGCCGCAUUAGCUAGUUGGUAAGGUAACGGCUUACCAAGGCAACGAUGCGUAGCCGACCUGAGAGGGUGGUCGGGCAGACUGGAAGUGAGAAACGGUCCAGACUCCUACGGGAGGCAGCAGUAGGGAAUCUUCCGCAAAGGACGAGUGCCUGACGGAGCAACGUCGCGGGAGUGAUGAAGGUCUUCGGAUCGUAAAGCUCUGUAAUUAGGGAAGAACAAAUGUGUAAGUAACUAUGCACGUCUUGACGGUACCUAAACAGAAAGCCACGGCUAACUACGUG
This 497-nucleotide ribosomal RNA is filed under the name uncultured bacterium. Its description in RNAcentral is "partial 16S ribosomal RNA". It matches the Rfam family "Bacterial small subunit ribosomal RNA", at positions 28 to 507 of the family's 1533-position model. The record is from RNAcentral.